Apteryx haastii (Great spotted kiwi) is the source of this 2203-nucleotide long non-coding RNA. The record is from Ensembl. NCBI's taxonomy places the organism in Eukaryota, Metazoa, Chordata, Aves, Apterygiformes, Apterygidae.
AGGCAGCUCUGCCUCCAUCAUCCCCUACCGGCUCCCUCCUGCCCCACCAGGCCGGCACCAGGGACAGCUUCCCGCUCUGUGACAUCACCACCUCUGUGACACAGCUCUGUGAUGUCAUCUACCCUCUGUGAUGUCACCUGCUCAAGAUGGCUGCCACCCCUCCCCUGCCCGGGCCUGGACGCCUGGGGCCCCUYGCCCCUGCCCCAAGAACGAUCCGGAGCGGCCUUACCAAGAGUGCAUUUUAUUCUGUUUUAUGGUUUCUCUUUUUUUUCCUGGGGGAGGGAGGGGCAGGGCUGUUGCUGUAGCCAGGGGGGUCCUUCCCCCCUGCCCUCACACCCCUCCCCCCUGUGGGAGGGGGCAUGACCAGCCCCCCUGUGGGGGCAGGGCCUCCCCUCCCUGCCCCCUCCCCUCCACACAGCGCUCACCUCACAACGGGGCCAAAAGCACAAAAUUAAGAAAAGGAAGGAGGGGGAGGAAAACAAAACAAAAAAAUAAUGCAAACGAAACCAAAAAAUAUAUAUAUAUAUUUAUAGAGAUCCUUUGUCGUGCGUGCUCCACCCCGCCCCCCCCCCGCUGGGGACAGACACCUGUGGGGACAGGCAUGAAUCAUGGAUGCACAUUGGGGAUGUGCGCUGGGGACAUGAACAUGUCAGGGACGCACACUGGGGACACGAGCACAGCACGGACACAUGUUGGGGGCACGUGUCAAGGACACCUGCUGGGGACAUGCACAUGCUAGGGACAUGCAUGAGUAACAGACGCACAUUGAGGACACGUGUGAGAGAUGCCUGUCAGGGACAUGCAGCAGGGUGGGUGCACAGAGGGGACCAAGGGGCUGUGGCAGGGGCCGUGGGGGGGGGCCACGGCUCACCAGCAAGCGGGUCCUCCUCCUCGCUGCUGGUGGAGGGCAGCGGCUCCUCCAGGAUGCCCCGCGAGUCGGCACCCGAGAUGGCGGCAGCCGAGUCCCGGGUGGAUGAGCUCUCCGAGGAGGAGGCGGGCGGCGAGCUGGAGCAGAGGGGGGAAACGGCGUCAGGGGGGGUGCAGGGGGCUGGCCCCACAGUGGGGCCUGGGCGCCCGGGGUGCUCACCUGUCAUCAGGUGGGCGGGUGGCAUCAGGGGGUGCUGGGGGGGUGGCCAGGGGGGGUCCCGGUGGCAUCCCAGCCCCCUCGGCGGCAGCGGCGGCCUCCUCCAGGGCGCAGGAGGCCAUGCUGGACGUGUCCAUGGGGGAGCCCUCCAGCUGGCUGCUCCCUGCUGUCAGUGCGUCCGAAUCCUCCGCACGCUCCGGCGACAGCGAGGCUGCGAGUGGCACCGGCUGUCAGUGGCUGCCCCCAGCAUCUUCCCCCCUCCUGCCCCCCCCCGCCACGGCGGGGCCCAGGCAUCCAGCACUCACUGACGGUGGGGGCGGGCGGGUGCUGGAGGAGCCGGCGCCCAGCGUCAGCGAGCCAUGGUCAGCGUGGCGCACCAGCAGCGGGUGGGUGGCUGGGAUGUUCCCAGGUGACGGCGGGAUAUCGGCUGCAGGGAGAGGCGGGGCGUCGGGGUUUGCCRGCAGCCCAGCCCCUUCCUGCCCACCGCAGGGAAGCGGUGCCUGGCCCCCGGGACCCCCCCUGCCAUACUGGGGCUGGAGAACAUGUUGUCGAACUCGAUGAUGAGGUCGUCGUCACGGUCGAAGCGCUCGAAGCGCACAAGGGGCGAUGCGUUCAUGUCCGGGUAGUCCUCGUCCAGCUCCAUCUCUGAGCCGUCAUCAUCAUCCUCCUCCUCCUCGCCUUCCUCGCCCUCCUCGUCAUCCUGUGGGAGACGGCGGGGGGGCAUCAGCCAGGCAUCCUGGUGGGGGGACGACCCUGGUCCCCCAGCCCCCAUCCUUGCCUGGUCAUCCUCGUCCUCCUCCUCUUCCUCUUCCUCCUCAUCCUGGCUGUCGUCCUCGUCCUCGUUGCUGCCGCUGCUGUCCUCCUCCUGCGUGUGCUCCUCCUCGUCCUCGGGGUCCAGGAUGUUCAUCGAGUCUGGGGGGGUGGCGGGGAGGUGGGCUGGGACCCUGGCACCCAGCGCGGGAUGGCCACACGCCAAGGCCCCCGCCGCCCGCUCACCUUCCCGGUUGGCCUGCAGCGUGGAGGCCUGGCUGAGAUUGGACGGAGCCUCAUCCAUGAGCACGUCCUCCUGCGACUCGUCCUCGCCCGAGCGGCUCACUGCGGAGGGGGGCAGGUGGUGAG